Molecule: ribosomal RNA, 303 nt
Filed under: uncultured bacterium
Lineage: Bacteria
Description: partial 16S ribosomal RNA
Rfam family: Bacterial small subunit ribosomal RNA
Source: RNAcentral
AGCAGUCGCCGCGGGAAUACGUAGGUGGCAAGCGUUGUCCGGAAUUAUUGGGCGUAAAGGGCUCGCAGGCGGUUUCUUAAGUCUGAUGUGAAAGCCCCCGGCUCAACCGGGGAGGGUCAUUGGAAACUGGGAAACUUGAGUGCAGAAGAGGAGAGUGGAAUUCCACGUGUAGCGGUGAAAUGCGUAGAGAUGUGGAGGAACACCAGUGGCGAAGGCGACUCUCUGGUCUGUAACCGACGCUGAGGAGCGAAAGCGUGGGGAGCGAACAGGAUUAGAUACCCCUGUAGUCCCUGUCUCUUAUAC